AGCGUGCUUUCGAUACGGGUUGACUUGAGGAAGGUAGGGGAGAAUGGAAUUCCUGGUGGAGCGGUGGAAUGCGCAGAUAUCAGGAGGAACACGAGUGGCGAAGGCGGUUCUCUGGGCCUUUCCUGACGCUGAGGAGCGAAAGCGUGGGGAGCGAACAGGCUUAGAUACCCUGGUAGUCCACGCUGUAAACGGUGGGUACUAGGUGUGGGGUCCUUCCAGGGUUCCGUGCCGUAGCUAACGCUUUAAGUACCCCGCCUGGGGAGUACGGCCGCAAGGCUAAAACUCAAAGGAAUUGACGGGGCCCCGCACAAGCGGCGGAGCAUGCGGAUUAAUUCGAUGCAACGCGUAGAACCUUACCUGGGUUUGACAUGAUCGGGAGUGCUCAGAGAUGGGUGUGCCUCUUUUGGGGUCGGUUCACAGGUGGUGCAUGGCUGUCGUCAGCUCGUGUCGUGAGAUGUUGGGUUAAGUCCCGCAACGAGCGCAACCCUUGUUCACUGUUGCCAGCACGUUAUGGUGGGGACUCAGUGGAGACCGCCGGGGUCAACUCGGAGGAAGGUGGGGAUGACGUCAAGUCAUCAUGCCCCUUAUGUCCAGGGCUUCACGCAUGCUACAAUGGCUGGUACAGAGAGUGGCGAGCCUGUGAGGGUGAGCGAAUCUCGGAAAGCCGGUCUCAGUUCGGAUUGGGGUCUGCAACUCGACCUCAUGAAGUCGGAGUCGCUAGUAAUCGCAGAUCAGCACGCUGCGGUGAAUACGUUCCCGGGGCUGU
This 766-nucleotide ribosomal RNA is filed under the name uncultured Propionibacterium sp. RNAcentral's name for it is "bacterial SSU rRNA". It matches the Rfam family "Bacterial small subunit ribosomal RNA", at positions 618 to 1384 of the family's 1533-position model. Lineage: Bacteria; Bacillati; Actinomycetota; Actinomycetes; Propionibacteriales; Propionibacteriaceae. The record is from RNAcentral.